GGAGAGAUGGCCGAGCUGGACGAAGGCGCACGACUCGAAAUCGUGUAUCCGCUGUGAGGUGGAUCGGGGGUUCGAAUCCCUCUCUCUCCG
This 90-nucleotide transfer RNA is filed under the name candidate division TA06 bacterium. RNAcentral's name for it is "tRNA-Ser". It matches the Rfam family "tRNA". From Rfam's summary of the family: Transfer RNA (tRNA) molecules are approximately 80 nucleotides in length. Their secondary structure includes four short double-helical elements and three loops (D, anti-codon, and T loops). The record is from RNAcentral.